RNAcentral lists this long non-coding RNA (166 nucleotides) under Cricetulus griseus (Chinese hamster). RNAcentral describes it as "lncRNA (ENSCGRG00000025698.1)". Lineage: Eukaryota; Metazoa; Chordata; Mammalia; Rodentia; Cricetidae. The record is from RNAcentral.
CUACCCUAAGAAGCUUGUGCCACACACACCUGCCUGAUCCCCAAGGAACCUGGGCCCCAAGGGCAUCUUCAGCAAGUCGGCCGAACUCUUGUACUUCUGAUGGGCCAGAUGCUAAGCUCUUCCCAACCAACUCACCCCAGAGCCAUAUCAAGUCACAAGAGCUGUG